RNA transcript from Triticum urartu, 803 nucleotides. RefSeq lists it as uncharacterized. The record is from RefSeq and is a predicted model, not a curated record. Lineage: Eukaryota; Viridiplantae; Streptophyta; Magnoliopsida; Poales; Poaceae.
CCAUCACCUCCUCCCUCUCCCUCCGCGCAUAGGGCCGGCCGGCGCAGGCCGGCGAGGCAGGUCAGAGCAAGCGCAAGCGCGCGCGAGCGGGGCCGGCAGCGCGCUCUAGCGGAGCGAGCGGGGCAGCUGCUUGCCGACGCGCGCGGGGGGGAGGCAGGCAGGGGCCGCGGCGUGGCUGUGGAGCUCCGAGGACGAACGCGAGCUCGACGCCCGCACAGGGGGUGUGCUUCACGGACGCGCCUUCCUCCCCCUCGAUUCCCCCGCCGCCAAAUCCGAGGGUUUUUUUCCCGCCCCAAAUGGAGGAGGUCGAAGCUCGAGCUCCAUUCCUGCAUCACACGGUCGGAUGCAGAGGCAUCGUGCCCCAGGAUGCCGCCGCCGCUCGCCGAGACGCCGCCACCGGCCCGAUCUACAGAAGCCCAGCCACGCGGACACGAAGGCAUCGUGCGCUAGGACACCGCCGCCCGCGGCUGCUGCUGCUCGUCGUCGCUCCAGCAUCCCCGGCCCAGCGCGAGCACGCCUACUCCUGUGGCCCAGCGCGCCUCCGCCCACCGUCAGCCCAGCGCAUCGCUCCGGCGUCCCAGGCAAAGCAGCGCGGUGGAGGCCAGGAACCCGACGCCCAGCGCGCCUCUGCGCAGGGGUGAGGGGCUGAUUGCUUUUCUGUUUUAGAUCAAGGGGUGUGUGUGUAAAUUUUUUGCUCUUACAAUCUGGCCCCACUUGUCAGAAUGUUGUUAAAUGAGACAAAUCACCGUAUCAGUGGAAUUUGCAAAAAAGUUUACUAGAAACACGGUGAUUUUUGGACAAAA